UCGUGCUAGGUGGGGAGGUAGCGGUGCCCUGUACCCGCAAUCCGCUAUAGCGGGGCUGAAAUCCCGGUUGAGGAAGUGCUUCCUUCGAGCGAUCGGCGGCGGGUAGUGGUGUCGAUGGUCAGGUCCCGCGCAAUGAGAACCCGCCAACCCCGUCAGGACCGGAAGGUAGCAGCGGUACGCGGUCAUUCUCAUGUGCCGCGGAACAACCUGGUUGGAGCUAACCCCUUCGCAAGAGCCGGGGGCGCCUUACGAGGCCGGGUGCACGA
Molecule: signal recognition particle RNA, 266 nt
Filed under: bacterium
Lineage: Bacteria
Description: signal recognition particle sRNA large type
Rfam family: Bacterial large signal recognition particle RNA
About the family: The signal recognition particle (SRP) is a universally conserved ribonucleoprotein involved in the co-translational targeting of proteins to membranes. Archaeal SRP consists of a 7S RNA and homologues of the eukaryotic SRP19 and SRP54 proteins.
Source: RNAcentral